CCUAGGCUGAAAUAACCAGCACUACUUGCCAAACACUUUAGAAAGAUUAUGUUUCUUCUCCAUUACAGAAGUGGAACAUAUGGUUCAGUUUGCAGCAAGAUCCUCCCAGGAAAGUGAAGCGGAGAAAAUGGAGGUAGAAACUAUUCUCCUCAUUAAACUACCUGCCCUCUGUAAUGUAGCUCUUCUGUGCUGCAGAAAUUGAUACUACACAAGAAAAGAAAUGAUGGGAGAAUAGUGAAGAAGAGAAGAACUGGCCAGGUUUCUUUCAUGUCAGAUGGAUUGGAAUGGGACAAGGCACUUUUCAGAUUCAGCUAUGGGGGAAACAAAAGACAGAAGACAAAAGUUCUCACUUCUCAAAGAGCUAAGUUUCUUUAUAAUCUCUUUAUGCUCCAAGAUGUGUGUGUGUUGUGGGGUGGGAGGGGCGGUAUUGUCUCUUUAAUUAAAUACUUUACCAGGUACUUUUUUCCAAGUACUCACAGUUCUAUCUUAAUCAAGUAUCCAAAUCUCUUCUGAAAA
This 516-nucleotide long non-coding RNA is filed under the name Homo sapiens (human). RNAcentral's name for it is "HSALNT0319881". The record is from RNAcentral. Lineage: Eukaryota; Metazoa; Chordata; Mammalia; Primates; Hominidae.